RNAcentral lists this ribosomal RNA (507 nucleotides) under uncultured bacterium. Its description in RNAcentral is "bacterial SSU rRNA". It matches the Rfam family "Bacterial small subunit ribosomal RNA", at positions 15 to 518 of the family's 1533-position model. The record is from RNAcentral.
GAUCUUGGUCAGGAUGAACGCUGGCGGCGUGCCUAACACAUGCAAGUCGAACGAAGCACUUCCGGUUGAGAUUCGUCAAGAACUGGAUUUGACUUAGUGGCGGACGGGUGAGUAAUGUAUGAGCAACCUGCCUUUCAGAGGGGGACAACAGUUGGAAACGACUGCUAAUACCGCAUAAUGUAUUUUAAGGGCAUCCUUGGAAUACCAAAGGAGCAAUCCGCUGAAAGAUGGGCUCAUAUCUGAUUAGUUAGUUGGCAGGGUAACGGCCUACCAAGACUGCGAUCAGUAGCCGGACUGAGAGGUUGAACGGCCACAUUGGGACUGAGAUACGGCCCAGACUCCUACGGGAGGCAGCAGUGGGGAAUAUUGGGCAAUGGGCGAAAGCCCUGACCCAGCAACGCCGCGUGAAGGAAGAAGGUCUUCGGAUUGUAAACUUCUUUUAUGAGGGACGAAGGACGUGACGGUACCUCAUGAAUAAGCCACGGCUAACUACGUGCCAGCCGCCGC